Non-coding RNA from Monodelphis domestica (gray short-tailed opossum), 926 nucleotides. The record is from RefSeq and is a predicted model, not a curated record. Lineage: Eukaryota; Metazoa; Chordata; Mammalia; Didelphimorphia; Didelphidae.
GGAAUAAUAAUCAUGUCAAUUCAUAGGUAAGGGACAUUGAUGAAAGAGGUCAUGCAAGGGGGAUAGAGUGGGCAGUCACAUCUUGCCAAGGACCACUCUGUGUGGUCUCCCCAGCUACAAUGUGUGACUCUAUCAAGAUAUCAUGGACUGAUGGACCCCAGCAGGUACAGACUCUCAUCAUCUCACCUUUGGACUAUUGCAAUAGCCUGUACCAGAUCAGUCUGCUUAAUGACUCUCCCCACUGUGAUAGAGGCUGGCACUAGAGAAAAAACGCCAGACUGAAGAGUAUGAGAAAUUGAUCACCUCAACAGGGGAAGGGACCGAUGAGUGAAUUUCCUGAGGAAAGAAGACUCUGGCUGAUGAGCAGUGAGGGUCUCUCCAUCUUGAAACGUCAAAGAGAGAAUGUGGAUAGAGACUUUCUCCUGAGGGUUACCCACUUUUCCUGCUGGUGACCGGAAAUCCUUACCCCCAACACUUCCCAAUUGAAGGGACUUUCUGAAGAAAAACCUGAGCAGACUUUACCUCAGCUCCUGUUGCCCAUGGGUUGCUUCCACGGCAUCAUGGAGAGACUGUGCAGAUGCAUGAGACCUUUCCCUCUAGUCCCAAGAAUUUAUUGCCUUACCUCAAAAUACUGAGCAAGUCACCUCUGAUUUCUGGACCUAAAACUGUUCAUGAUUGUGCAUGUGGUCUGUAGUGAGAUGGGUAUUAGACUAGUUGAUUCUACUUGGGCCAUCACCAUCUUCUCAUCCCCACUGGAAAUUGAACUGAGUACUUGGAAUCACCCUGGGAUAUGAUGGGACAUCCUUGGUCUUCUCUUAUCUGAAUCUACAGCUAUGAUACUACCUAGUCAUUUCCAGGACAUGUAUCCUUUUAAGCCAUCACUUCCACUUUCCCUGCACUGAGAAAAAUAGACCACAUCUUUGGAA